UCUGCAUCGGCUCCUGCCUCCAGGAUCCUGGCCUGUUUGAGUUCCUGUCCUGACUUCUUUUGAUAAUGAACAGCAAUAUGGAAGUGUUGUUUCCAAUUUCUGGAUACUAUGAAUAGAGCAGCAAUGAACAUGGCUGACCAAGUGGUUCUGUGGUGUAGGAUACCAUUUCCUGUUGCAUGCAAGAUAUAGGACUCCCAGCUACUUCUCCAGCACCAUGUCUGUCUGCCUGCCGCCAUGUCUCACCAUAAUGAUAAUGGACUGAAUUUCUGAAACUGUAAGCCAUACCAGUUAAAUGUUUACCUUUAUAAAAGUUGCCAUGGACAUGGUGUCUCUUCUCAGCAAUAGAAACCCCAACUAAGACAAUGCCCAAGAGUGUAAUGCCUGGAUCUUGAGGUAGAUCAGUGCCCAUCUUCCUGAGGAGCUGUCACACGAAAUCCAUAGUGACUGUACAAGUUUGCAGUCCUAACAACAAUGGACGAGUGUUCACCCCUUCACCACAUCCUUGCCAGCAGGAGCUGUCAUUUGCCUUAUUCAUCUUGGUCAUUCUGAUGGGUGUUAAGAGGAAAGAGGACGGGCGUGGUUUUGAUUUGCAUUUCCCUGUUGAUUAAGGAUGUUGAACAUUUCUUGAAGUGUCUCUCAGCCAUCUGAGUUUUGUCUUUUGAGAAUUCUCUGUUUAAAUCCAUACCCCAUUUUUAAAUUGUAUUGUUUUUCUUGAUAUCC
RNAcentral lists this long non-coding RNA (720 nucleotides) under Cricetulus griseus (Chinese hamster). Its description in RNAcentral is "lncRNA (ENSCGRG00015030425.1)". Lineage: Eukaryota; Metazoa; Chordata; Mammalia; Rodentia; Cricetidae. The record is from RNAcentral.